GAAGAGUGAGCCACAGUGUCCCUUCAAGGGAGGGUGUCCUAAGUUUAGGUGCCAAAGAGUUCAGGAAGGAACAACCAAAAAAAGCUUUUUUUUUUUUUUUUUAGAAAUGUGGACAUAUGAGAUGCUUCCACCAUCCUUCUGUAGACACCUCCUCUCUUGUGGCUGGGCAGGAGAGUCUCAUCACCACCUGCAACCACGUGUGCAGAGUGGGAAAGGCUUAACUUUGGAAAAUGCAGAGUCCGUGGAACCUUCUCAGAGAAUUGGAGAUGCCAGAUGCUGGCUGUGUCCUUUACGUGUCACCUCACUGAAUGAAAUGAGUUGGGAUGAGGAGGGCAACCAUCUUUCCUUAGGAGAGGAAGACAUUGGACACCAAAGACCCGAUGAGAAGUGGUAUCUGCGGACAGGCCGCAAUGAAGUGAACUAUCCAGUGGAAACAGCAAAGAGCAAACAAUCACUGAAGUGUCUCGGCUUUAAAGCUCCAGGGUGUUCCAUUUGCCCUUUGCCAUAAAAAUGACAGAGUUGGGUUAAGGAUUCUGUACCCCUUAUUAGCCAUUAGCAUUAACAACAAAGAUGAAAGACCCCAAAGGCAAUUUUUGUCACUGAGAUCUGAAUUUAUUUCCCUUCGCUGAAUCUUAAAUUAGUAGUUAACUGAUGGCGAGAUCUGUACCAAGA
RNAcentral lists this long non-coding RNA (672 nucleotides) under Vulpes vulpes (red fox). RNAcentral describes it as "lncRNA (ENSVVUG00000029933.1)". The record is from RNAcentral. Lineage: Eukaryota; Metazoa; Chordata; Mammalia; Carnivora; Canidae.